GUUGACCUCGGAUCAGGUAGGGAUACCCGCUGAACUUAAGCAUAUCAAUAAGCGGAGGAAAAGAAACCAACAGGGAUUGCUCUAGUAACGGCGAGUGAAGCAGCAAUAGCUCAAAUUUGAAAUCUGGCGUCUUCGGCGUCCGAGUUGUAAUUUGUAGAGGAUGCUUCUGGGCAGCCACCGACCUAAGUUCCUUGGAACAGGACGUCAUAG
Molecule: ribosomal RNA, 210 nt
Filed under: Cladosporium halotolerans
Lineage: Eukaryota; Fungi; Ascomycota; Dothideomycetes; Cladosporiales; Cladosporiaceae
Description: partial 28S ribosomal RNA
Rfam family: Eukaryotic large subunit ribosomal RNA
Source: RNAcentral